This is a long non-coding RNA of Pygocentrus nattereri (red-bellied piranha), 429 nucleotides long. Lineage: Eukaryota; Metazoa; Chordata; Actinopteri; Characiformes; Serrasalmidae. The record is from Ensembl.
UAUAUUAAAUGAAUGUAAUGUUUCAUACAUGUUUGGCAGACCUUGAUUCAUGUCUGCUGGCGAAAGGCUGCUGAAGGCUGAGGCAGCUGUAACUGAGGCCACAAAGAAGGUUUAUUUAGAGGAACCAGACCUCUCAGGAGUGAUGGCAGACCUUCAGGAUUUGUAUAGAAACUUCCACUCAAAGAUCAACAAAGUAGAUGAAGAAUGAUAUGACUUGGCAGCCAAACUGACCAAAAAUAACAAGGAGAUUGAGGAACUGAAGAGGUCAGCCAAGUUCAAGAAGCCUGGGGGGGCUCCUCACAGAAGGCAAGUUUAAACUUAAGGACCAACCUCAAACAGGUGAAGAAAGAAGUCAUAGAGGGGGUGAGUAAACACCACUCAAAACAAAUACAUUUAAUCUUUUGCAAAUUGAAGAUGAAACUUCUCUUU